CUUGGUCAUUUAGAGGAAGUAAAAGUCGUAACAAGGUUUCCGUAGGUGAACCUGCGGAAGGAUCAUUACAGUGUUCGCUGCCCUCACGGGUAGCAAACCUCACCCUUGUGUAUUAUAUCUUUGUUGCUUUGGCACGCCGCCUUCGGGCACUGGCUUCGGCUGGCUCGCGCGUGUCAGAGGACCCCAAACUCUGAAUGUUAGUGUCGUCUGAGUACUAUCUAAUAGUUAAAGCUUUCAACAACGGAUCUCUUGGUUCUGGCAUCGAUGAAGAACGCAGCGAAAUGCAAUAAGUAAUGUGAAUUGCAGAAUUCAGUGAAUCAUCGAAUCUUUGAACGCACAUUGCGCCCGGUGGUAUUCCGCCGGGCAUGCCUGUUCGAGCGUCAUUUAAACCAAUCCAGCCUCGUGCUUGGGUCUUGGGCCUUUCGCCUCUAGGCGGGCCUCAAAAUCAGUGGCGGUGCUGCCAGGCUCUAAGCGUAGUAAUUCUUCUCGCUACAGGGUCCUGGUGGAGGCUUGCCAACAACCCCAAAUUUUCAAAGAUUGACCUCGGAUCAGGUAGGGAUACCCGCUGAACUUAAGCAUAUCAAUAAGCGGAGGA
RNAcentral lists this ribosomal RNA (595 nucleotides) under uncultured Helotiaceae. RNAcentral describes it as "eukaryotic LSU rRNA". The stretch from base 230 to 383 matches the Rfam family "5.8S ribosomal RNA". Lineage: Eukaryota; Fungi; Ascomycota; Leotiomycetes; Helotiales; Helotiaceae. The record is from RNAcentral.